UUUAAGCUCCAUAUAUAAAGUAUUUCUUUMAUUAGAA
Molecule: transfer RNA, 37 nt
Filed under: Tipula sp. PMO 200011
Lineage: Eukaryota; Metazoa; Arthropoda; Insecta; Diptera; Tipulidae
Description: partial tRNA-Leu
Source: RNAcentral